Molecule: long non-coding RNA, 895 nt
Filed under: Brassica rapa (field mustard)
Lineage: Eukaryota; Viridiplantae; Streptophyta; Magnoliopsida; Brassicales; Brassicaceae
Description: long non-coding RNA (BRAP_LNC001018)
Source: RNAcentral
GUAGUUACAAGUAACGAUUAAUAAAAUAAAUCAAGUAACUCGCAAGUUCAUCAAUUUUUUACAAGUACUUGAAACUGCAAGUACUCGUUUUUAGCAAACCAAAUACAAGUCCAAAAUUUUACUACUCGAACAAGCCAAGCCAAGUACUAAGUACAACGAAAAUACCAAGUACCCGGUUUGUACCCACCCCUAAGUCAAGGUCAUCCUUGAAUUUCUUCUAAUAAGAAGUGUCAUCGAUAAAAGAAGAAGAAAAAUGAAUGAGUAAGAAAAAUAUUGAAAAAGAAGAUGAUGAAUUUAGGAGGUAAAGAAGAUGAGAAUUGUAAAUAUUGAAAAAAAAAUGUAUAAGAAAAAAACUUGUGACAGUUAACGAUAGGAAUUUUUUUCCAAAAGAACACGAUGGUGGCCAAAAAGUAAAAGAAAAAAAAUAAAGUAUUUAAUCUCUCAAAAACCAAAGAAGUAAAUGAUUACCUAUCCCAAAAAUAUUCAUUUUCCAAUGAAGGAAAAUCGAAUCUCUUGAUUUACAUCGACCAAAACUGGAAUCAAAUCAACAAUUAAUUCAAGAAACAAGAAUAUUGAACUGGGUUCUAAAAUCACAAACCUUUGGUCACAAAUCUACCAUCUAGGUCAGAAUCAGCAUCUGACAUGGCUACCGACCUAGGGCACGCUAGACUCCGGAGGGUUAUUGUUGGAGAUGGGUUUCACCCAAAUACAAAUCCGGUCCAAGAAUCUGACCCAAGAGUCCCAAAAUUCGAUAAGAAGACCUAAAAGAAAGAAGGUCCACCCCGAGCUCGGAGCAAAGUCAAUGCCGACCUGACCAAAUAAAUACAAAACAUAGAAAAGAUCAAAACAUUAAAUACAAAAUUGAUGAUAUGAGAUACACAGUAGAGAUCACAGC